UACAGAGUAUUAAAACAUAGGUUUUCAGAAUAAAAAGCGUGCAUAAUAAAAUGACAAAAAGGCCCUUGAGAAAACAUGAAUUCGAGCAUAUAGGCGACGCGCAGCGACCUCGGCAAGUCGCUCCAGCACGUCGCUCUGGGCUUCGGGAGCGACCUCAGGGUGUCGCUGCGAGAGGUCGCUCCGGCUUCAGUUUUGAGCUCUGUUUCGUCAAAAGAGCGAGCGACUUCAGGACGUCGCUCCAACGUGGUCGCUCCGAGAGGUAAGGCACAGCGACUUCAUCGUGUCGCUGCGGUUAGGUCGCUCCGGUGGGUUGCUCGUCCGCUGAUCACUUUAAACACUUCUUUUGAGCUCCAAAUGCACCCAAACGUCUCCAAGAACUCCAUGUGAUACUCCAAUACCUGAUAAGGACUCAUGUAUGCAAAAUGCAACCUAAACAUGACUAAAUCCUAAUCUAUAUGAUCAAAAUGCAUAUGGAUGGAUGGAUAAAACAAUGGAAAUAUGCAUGAUAU
This is a long non-coding RNA of Brassica rapa (field mustard), 509 nucleotides long. RefSeq lists it as uncharacterized. The record is from RefSeq and is a predicted model, not a curated record. NCBI's taxonomy places the organism in Eukaryota, Viridiplantae, Streptophyta, Magnoliopsida, Brassicales, Brassicaceae.